GAGUUCUGGGCCGCACGCGCGCUACACUGACGGAGCCAGCGAGUUGACCUUGGCCGAGAGGUCUGGGAAAUCUUGAGAAACUCCGUCGUGCUGGGGAUAGAGCAUUGCAAUUUUUGCUCUUCAACGAGGAAUUCCUAGUAAGCGCAAGUCAUCAGCUUGCGUUGAUUACGUCCCUGCCCUUUGUACACACCGCCCGUCGCUACUACCGAUUGAAUGGCUUAGUGAGGCCUCCGGAUUUGUCUAGUGCUGGGGGCAACCUCGGCGCGGGACGGAGAAGCUGGUCAAACUUGGUCAUUUAGAGGAAGUAAAAGUCGUAACAAGGUUUCCGUAGGUGAACCUGCGGAAGGAUCAUUAAAAUUAAUUUAUUACAUUGUUUUUGAAGCAAACACUAAUAACCAUUAAUAUUCAAUAACUUAGAAAAAUCAAAACUUUCAACAACGGAUCUCUUGGUUCUCGCAUCGAUGAAGAACGCAGCGAAUUGCGAUACGUAUCAUGACUUGCAGACGUGAAUCAUCAAUCUUUGAACGCACAUUGCGCCUUGAGGUAUUCCUCAAGGCAUGCCUGUUUGAGCGUCGGCUCCCUUCAAACCCCCGGGUUUGGUGUUGCCUUCCGAAAUAUCACAGUUGUUGCAAUACGUUACUUCAACUUUAUUCUUUCGCCCUCAAAUCAGGUAGGACUACCCGCUGAACUUAAGCAUAUCAAUAAGCGGAGGAAAAGAAACCAACAGGGAUUGCCUCA
RNAcentral lists this ribosomal RNA (738 nucleotides) under Saccharomycetales sp. LM475. RNAcentral's name for it is "eukaryotic LSU rRNA". The stretch from base 1 to 354 matches the Rfam family "Eukaryotic small subunit ribosomal RNA", at positions 1476 to 1831 of the family's 1831-position model. Lineage: Eukaryota; Fungi; Ascomycota; Saccharomycetes; Saccharomycetales. The record is from RNAcentral.